GGUCGGGGGUGGAUGGCUUGUGAGGGGGGGCAUGGGGCACCAUGGGCUUCCCCAGGAAUGGUUUCCGAGGUCCUAGGAUUCAAAAUGACUUGGUCAAAAUGGUAACGGGAAUUUGGAGUUCACACACUUCUGUUCUAGAUAGAGCCCCAGGGGAGGUUGUACACUUUCACCCUGGACAUGUGAUCAUGGCCAUGGCUGUUGAGGGCAGGUAGACCGGGGUUUGAGUCCUGGCUCUCCUGGUUGUUGAGCCGUGUGAUUUGCCGCACAUUAUUUAACUUUUUAAACCUCAGCUUCCUCACUUGUUAAAAGGGAGGGAUGAAAAUAGUACUCACCUCAGAAGGCUGUUGUGAGAAUUAAAUAAUUCCUGUAAAGCAGGUAGCAGAGUGCUUGGCACAUAGUAAGUCUUCUAAAGAUCAUUAUUUUAUUAUAGAACUUCUUCGAUAUCUACAAGUGUUCCAGAUUAGAAAUGUAAUUUAAAAAUUGGCAUGGAUUAUUUCUUUGUAAUUAAGUUCUCUUUUUCUCAAUAAGAAAAUUUUCUUAUGUGUUUUCCUAUUAUUUUCAUAGACUCCUUGGCAUCCUGCCCUGUGCUUUUGUCUUUUACUAGGCAUCCAGGAAAAACGGAGCGAAUUCUUGUGGAAUUGAAGUACACUGAAAGUGUUUGUUACUUAAAGGUAUCUUCUGGUGGAUCGUCUUGGAAAACAUGGACCCAAAUCUUGCGAGAGCUGUCAGUGAGUCUCCCCUCCUGCUCUGCAUCUCUGAGGACCUUGCCCCAGCUCCAGAAGAAUGAAUCUGCACAGCUUGGACUGUCGCCUCUGGUGGGUCCCUGCUCUUUGAUGAGGCCUCGUCAUAACCACAGGUGAGAGUCAGGGAAGGAAUGAGGCACAGGGAAGGGAAAGGUUCAGGCCUCUGAUAAGGGUCAGAUGAGGUUUGAUAUCAGGGAUAGAGUAGGGUUAGCAGCAAGGUGAAGAUUGGAGGCGGGGUAAGGCUUUGGGAGAAGAUGGAAGCUGGAAAUUGGAGAGGGUCAGCAGCGGCAAGCGAUCGGCUGGGUGAUAUGAAUGCUCCCUUGUAACAUAAACCCAUGUUUUCACAUUUCAUUCACCUGUGUCAUAAUAGCUGUGCCAAAAUAUGUGCUUUGCCUCCUGGCCGAGUGACAGUGGCCAUCCGAAGGCAGUGACUUUCCAGAGCACAAGGACCUCUAAAGGGUCAGGCAGAUCUGGUGCUUUCCCCCUCCUGGAAAUGGAUAGAGCUGGCUGAAGACUUCUUGGGAUGAAAUUUGCCUUUUGUGCCUCAGGUGAAAUCUGACUGAUUUUGAAUGGUGUGCCCAUUUCUGGGCUUCCCACCUUCCAGAUCCCCUGGGCCAGAUUCCUAGCACCCCAGGAAGGUGCUGGGGGAUCUGGGUCUGUAGGCACUGAGAAGAUGGGGAGAGGCUCUGAUAAGCAGAAGCCUAAUAACCAGGUCUCCAGGGCUCAAGGGAAAAGCAAUUUCCUAGAUCUUUUUGCCUUUUAUCCAUUAAAGAAAAAUUGUCAAGGUCUAAGGAUGUUUCAAGAUUCCUUCUGAUGGAUUAAUUGGUUUGUUUCCCUUAAGGAAAAUUGGACACAGAGUUUCUAAUAAUCCCUCAUUACCUUUUAGAAGAAUGCUAAUACUUGAGGUAGUUUAUCUCAGGAUACUUACUGCCUUUGAACCUCAGCUUUCUCAGCUAUCAAACAAGGAAAACACUUCACACCCCACAGGUUAGUUGUGAGGCUGGUGUAAGACUACACACAUGAACCUGUUUUGUAAACUGCAGAUCGGCUACAUGGCUGGGCGUGGAGUUAUUUUAAUCAUGAUUGCUAUUUUUAGGGAGAUAAGGUCACUUAUCUGCAAAUGGGUAAGCACCACGUAUAUGAACUAUAAACUACAUCCAUCCUCUCCCAAUGUGUAAAUUCUAACCUGCACUCAAAGGAAAAACACAAAUAGACAAAUGACUAUAUUUUUUAAGGCUAUCCAGGACUAAUAUGCUCUUAAGGAAAGGUGUAAAAUUUAAUCACACAUCACACACACAUUUAUAACUGGCAAAUGAGCUCUUCACAAGAAGGCAUAGUUGGGGCUAUGGUUUCUAGAUUGAUCUUUACCAAUGCAGAUAAAAUGCACUUUCUUUAAGUUGGAGACUGAAUGCCUGCAAUUUCAGGGUUAGUGGUCAAAGAAGGUAAUAAUCUUACCGUAUAAUGCCUGGAUCCCUUUCACAUCAUCUUUGGGGAGGUGGAAUCCAUAGGGAUUCUGGUACUUAUAAGUUGGGUACAUCAGUGCUGAUGGGUCUGUGGAAUGGGCCAGGCCCAGGGCAUGACCAAAUUCAUGAGCAGCAACGGUAAACAAAUUAAAACCUAGACAAUAUGAGAGAGAAAAAAACAGUAUCACCACAGGUUUUUGUUUUCUCCAUCUUCCAUCUUUAUAGGAUAAUUUAUGCCCACAUCACAGUUAACUCAUCUCCUUUUCCUAACUGGAUUAUUCAAAUUUUGACUUGCUUCUCUGAAAAGGAAUCAGAGCUCUCACCAAUCCCUGUGCAAACUUACGCCUCUACUCCUUACCAGGGUGAGCAAUGGAAUGGAGAAGAAGUGGGAAAGUUGGAGGCAGACCUCUCACACAUCUCCCAAAAGGUGGUCUGCAAGUGUGAGCAAGACAGGAACGACACUUUCCUAACCAUUGCUGCAGGGGGAAGGCUGUAUCAAGGUCACUGUGGAAGGUAUUUCCUUCAGUGAGGAUUCAUGGUGGGAUAUUCUUGGCUAAUAUGGAGGGGGGUAUAUAAGUGAUAAACACCAUCAUGGGAAUGGAUGAGGUCAUGUGGCUAACGGGAAAGCAAAAUCUGCAAGAAUUUGUCCCCUAGUAGGGCAAAGUCAUAAUGAAAGUUUGUUACAGUGAAUCUACUCUACAGCUGUAUCUGAUGAUGACAAGACAUGCUAAGAAUUCCUAUUUUCUUGAUUCUAUUUUCCGGCCAGAGGAAGAUCAUGGCUUUGUCAUGGUCUUGGCCUUGGCCCAUCACAGUACGGUGUGAAGGAGAAGUGUGUGAUCACUCGAAUUAAAGAUGUAGAAGGAACAGUAUUGGGACAACUCUCCUUUGAAUUAGUAGAUGGAAUCCAAGUACCACAAUACCUCCAUUUUCAAAAGAUAUCAUAAUAUCCGCUUCUCCUGAGUUUAUUCUGACAAAGCUCAGAG
Molecule: RNA transcript, 3189 nt
Organism: Cercocebus atys (sooty mangabey)
Lineage: Eukaryota; Metazoa; Chordata; Mammalia; Primates; Cercopithecidae
Exons: 3
Source: RefSeq, a predicted model, not a curated record